AACUCAGACAUUCUGGCUGGGAGGGAGAGGAAGAAACAAAGAAUAAAGAGAACAGAAGCAGGGAGAAAAAACAGAGGAGAAAGAGGGAUCACAAGAGACAAAACUGGAAUACAAUACAAUGCAGAACAGGAAGCUGAUUAUGAAAAUCUAUGUUAAUGAAGGUAACAGGAAAGCUUCGGCAUGAGAAAAAGAAGGAAGAAGAAAACAGAGCAGACAAAAAGGAUGGAGAGAGGAAAAAAGAAACUAGGAGAGAAUGAAGGAAGCAAAGAAAAUUAUUUUUUUAUAAAUGUAACUCAGACAAGGCCUAAUCCUUCAGACUUUUUGUGCAGGCAAAAAUCAUUAAUUAAUUUGCAGAAUCAGAGCCACAAUAUUGAAGAUCAUUUAUGAAUAUGUUAUGAAUAUGCACAGCACUGGGGGAACCCACUUGGAUGAACUGCACCAUUGGCCUACAAGGAAUAACUUGCAGCAUGUUGGCAGUGUUGUAGGCUGCCAUCAGGUCAAUAAGAACUGCACCAACUUUCUUUCCUGAUUCAAAUGCAUCUUCUAUGCCCUGAGUCAGAGGAUGUAGUUGAUUUUGGGUGCAUUGUCCCCUGCAUCCAGCCUGAACAUGAGGCAGUGGAAGUUUCAACAACAUCAUUAAUCCCCAUCAGGAUUAGUCUUUGCAUAGCUUAUCGGUUUCUUCAGGAUCUAGAAAAUCACCUAUCUGCUCCUUGUCUUGCCUGGUGAGUGACAGCAACCUUAGAAAUGGGAAACACAACAGUAUUCUUACUGCAAAAAGUGAAGCCAUAAACAACUACAACAAAAGCCUAGAUGAAAAGAUAGAAAUGUCUCAAUCUUCAGUCCUGCCAAAAGAACGAACAAACCAGUUCAUUACUGAAAGCCUGAGAAAUCUGCACUAUAAUUCUGUGAUGCAUAUUCCUAAUUGUAUUGUAUUCACUGACUGGGACAGGAGGGGGCGGGAAAACACACCUACUGUCAAGGUUCCUUUUUUACCAACUUAUCGGUGCAUGCCCUUGACCACAGUACAAAAAAGCAUUUACCAGCACUCUGCAGGUGAAAGGCUAUUCUGCAGUAUAAAUUGUACAUCUUAGAAACAGCAUUUUUUUAAGCACUGAAAAGCUAUUCAAGAAUUCCUGUAUCUGUAGGCUAAGUGGUUUGCUUCAGCCCGGGGGCCGACAAUGCUGAUAUUUCAAGAAACCUAAUCUCUUAAUGAUUGGGAUCAGAGGAAUGGGUAUGGCCAUGAAAGAGACAGCUUGAAACAGGCCUAAUCUCAGGCAUAUCUGAAUUUACAAACAGAGCAGAGAGUCAGCAUUGCCACCAACAUUGUUUCAACUGACUGCAAUCUGUCUAUCCCAGGGUGGUCCAUCCAGCAAGAUUGAAUUCCACAUCCUAUCCCACACUGAAAUUUCUUACUCACGGAUACCUUCUCAUGACAGAACUAUCACAUUUGUUCUCUUUGCACUGAAUGCAAUGGAAAUGUGGGACUGCCAUUAUGCAGAACUACCACUGUGAGGUAAGUAGGCAUCCCUUCCAUCCAACAAUGGCAGUGCAAACCCCCAGAGACAAAACAAACACUCCCACUUGGCUUUGCUUUAUUUGGAAAGCAAAUAUGAGCCUGCCCAUGACCAUAGAUUUUCCUGGUUCUGUCUUGUAACUAGCUCACCUCUGCAUUAGAUUCCAGUCUAUAAAGUACAGACUCUUUCUAUUAGUUUUAAAAGACUGGGUAUUAUUUUUCAUGGAAAAUCCAAAUGUUUUCCAAUUCAGGUCACUCCCCAUAUCAGUGAAGCACAACACUAAUCAGUACUGGUGCACGCACUGUGGCCUCUGCUUUCCUUAUCAGUCCAUAUCAGGGCAGUCAUAUGUAACAGUAUAUUUUUUUUCCUUUUUCGUUUUUGUAAUAGUGCCUUGCUGGAUCUUCUCAAAUAAACUAAUCUUCCUCUGCUUCUUCACAGUAUGCAGAUGUUUCUGUUUGCAAAAAAAUACACAGUAAUUCAUAAAAAAGGAUUUGAAAUUGUGUCAGCUAUAGGGAUCUAAACCAGCAUAAUAAUCCUUUAAUGUUUAAUUUUGGAUUGGGGUAGGGAGUCAUUCUAUAAACCACAAAGAUCUGUCAGCAACUGUAACUGAAGUCCAGAAAUAUCACACCGGCACCUGCAAUGCUGGUUUCCCCUGCCUUGAUUCCAACAGUAAAGGAAAGGGCCACCCUUACUGGCAUAGUAAUAUAAUGCAAUAAUGCUAACUAAUUUCCAAGCCUUUUCAGCAAUAAUUAGGGUUUGGUAAUUGACCCAAUUAACAUGCCAUUUGUGGGUCACCAUUUUCUUAGUAAUGCUCAUUGGUAAGAGGUGACAUUUGGGGGGGGGGUUAAAAGCUGAUGUGUUUUUGUUGCAGAGAAAAUGGGAUGACUAUGACUAUACUUACUUAUCUAGAGGGGGGAAAAGGUCACUUGGCUCCAUGAUGGGUUCACAUAAUUAUCUGGACACACAAAAUGCGGCAUUCUAAUUUUUUCCUGAACAGAACAGCAGUGGCUUUCAGUCAGCGAUAAGUUUAGUCUGUGGGAGUUUGGUUUUAGAUCAGUUUUCUGUUUGGUGUUGCUUUUAUUGACAAAUAUAACAUACAGGUAAGAUAGGGGUGAUGGACUCAAAAAUGGAGAGGAAGUUUAAAUAGAUUUUGUAAUGUGUAUUUCAUGGGUUUAAUCUAUCUAUCUAUCUAUCUAUCUAUGCAUUUCUAAUGCAGUCAUCAUCACAAAACCUAAAAUCCGAGACUUCCAAUAAUAAAAACAACUAGGAGACGUCUACUAGGAUCUGAGUGGAGAAGAGCAAUCUCAAUUUAAACUUGACCUACAAAGCUAAAGGGUGACUCCAGUUCUGAAAUAUACCAAGACAGAAAGAUCUUUGUUUAUUGAAUUGUCCUAGCAUAAAGGUCCAUUCUGAAUGGCAGAAUACAUGUUCUUAUAGUUAAGUUUUGGAUAACAAAAAAAAAGAAAAAGAAAAAAGAGACUCUAUACAACUUAUGAAUGCUGUUUAAGAUCAUGAACUCUGUAUGUAUCUUUAUCAGACUGCAAACUCCAAUUUGAAUGUGAGAGCUAGUUGCCUUCUCUGUUGUCUCUUUACCUCAAUGUUGGACUGCGAUUUCAAGCAGUAGUGAUAAAGGGCUGAAAACAAUAUCAUUAAAUCAGGACAGUCCUCUUUACAAAUACAAAACAUCCUAUAGAAUAUGCCAGCUCCCGCUUAGGAAAACUGGUUUGUUGGGGGAGAGGUCAUCUCCCCAUGAAGUUACAUAGUAGGGGUCUGAUCUCUUGAGGAGGUUUAACAGAGAGUCUCCUGGCAAAGGAGAUUGGAAGGUUAUAAAAAGGGCAAGAGCUACUCUGUUUGGGAUCUUCAGCCACUUCUACGAGCUCAAGCAGAGGAUAGAUGUGGUAGGAAUCUGAUGAGGCAGAGGGAAUCCUCCACACUUGAACUCCAACUGUCCCCCCAAGGACUACCAAGGGAAGAGAGAGCUAGAGUGAGGGGCACAGCCUUGAGAAGGGAGGUUGUUUUCUGCCUCAGCUGCACUCUGUGCUUUAUCUAUUGAGUAAAGAACAACGGUGAUUUAGAAUCCUGUGCCAAGUCUGCCUGUAUUUUACAUGCUACACCUAUCUCAUGCUCUUGAACGAUUAACCUGUGGACCCAGAAAACCCACAUGGCUGGAGUUCUGGGAGAGGAUGUGUUUAAGAUAUGGGAGAAGUCUGAGGGGCCAGCACUCGUCUCAAGUGCUGUGCAGUUUGACCACAUGGUCUCAGCUCUGAGGGAGUGCUGCUGGACAGAGGGUCUGCUCCCUGAGUGUGUGCUGCCAUGCCUGGACUCUGUUCAGACCCCAGAGGCUUAAACCACAUAGGAUCCAUUGGUUUGGGGAGUGGCCAAGAGGGAUCGCUUGACUAGUUCUGUGACAAGUAAUGUAAAAAUUGCUACAUAUAGUAGCAAUAAUUAUGCGUAUCUGCAAUAAUAAAACUACGGUGAUUAUUUGCUCUAAGUGCCUAUUGCUAAGGUAUCUUAAUAAAUGGGAGGUCAUUUUACAGCUAACAAAAUGACUAGGUUUAAACUUUAAUGCUGUUUGAGUGCACAAGUGCAUGCAUGCACACACGCUCUGAGAGCAAAAUUUAGACGAUGAGGUGAAGAUUUUCAAAAUUCCGGUGGGAGCUGCUGGGAGCUCAGCACUUCUGAAAAUCAGGCCACUUAGUUUGGUACCUAAGAUGGACUUAGGGGCCUACCUUUGAAAAUCUUGACCUACGUUAUAUUUUAAGAAUUGUGCACUCAGAUACUGAAAGGCAGAGAUAUGAUUCUCAGUUCAAACACGGACUCUAGUGACACACUAAAAACUCAAGAUGGAUACUACAAAAAAGGAGAAUUUGGCCUCUCCAAAGAGAUUCUGCCAACUUUGAUUUACACAAAACUACCAAUAUGUUGAUUGUACAGUUGCCAGAAGUCCCUUAUUACAAGGGAUGUCCUUAUUUUUUUAAUCUCUGUACAACAAGAUUGGGAGUUACUUAGUGCUGCAAAAAGCAGGAAGUAAUACCCCUGCUGAAUGUAGAUGAGUACCGCUUAUUAAUAAAAUAAAUAAAUAUCAGGAGGAGGAGUGGGGAGAGGGUACUAAGAAAACAGUCCCUUAUUUUUGAAAUACAGCACUGGCAACCCUAGCCUUGAUUCUCAUGUUCUCAUAGCAUUUACAAUAGCAAGCAUUGCAACAGGAACUAACAAAAGCUGAUCUUAUUGUGAAUCAUUUGUAUGUAUUAGGACAAGCAAGCCCUGCUGUAAGAGUAGAAAUAAAAAUUAAGGCUGUCAAGAGAUUAAAAAAAUU
Molecule: non-coding RNA, 4830 nt
Organism: Chrysemys picta bellii (western painted turtle)
Lineage: Eukaryota; Metazoa; Chordata; Testudines; Emydidae
Source: RefSeq, a predicted model, not a curated record